This 253-nucleotide ribosomal RNA is filed under the name uncultured bacterium. RNAcentral describes it as "partial 16S ribosomal RNA". It matches the Rfam family "Bacterial small subunit ribosomal RNA", at positions 524 to 776 of the family's 1533-position model. The record is from RNAcentral.
UACAGAGGGGGCAAGCGUUGUUCGGAAUUACUGGGCGUAAAGGGCUCGUAGGCGGCCAACUAAGUCACACGUGAAAUCCCCAGGCUUAACCUGGGAACUGCGUGUGAUACUGGAUGGCUUGAAUUCGGGAGAGGGAUGCAGAAUUCCAGGUGUAGCGGUGAAAUGCGUAGAUAUCUGGAGGAAUACCGGUGGCGAAGGCGGCAUCCUGGACCGACAUUGACGCUGAGGAGCGAAAGCUAGGGGAGCAAACGGG